This 292-nucleotide ribosomal RNA is filed under the name uncultured bacterium. RNAcentral describes it as "partial 16S ribosomal RNA". The record is from RNAcentral.
GGACUACCGGGGUAUCUAAUCCCGUUCGCUCCCCUGGCUUUCGUGUCUCAGUGUCAGCAAACCCCCAGCGAGCUGUUUUCACCAUUGGCGUUCCAAAUGAUAUCUACGCAUUUCACCGCUCCACCAUUUGUUCCGCUCGCCCCUAGGUUGCUCAAGACUAGCAGUAUACCAAGCCGUUCCACGGUUGAGCCGUGGGAUUUCACAAGGUACUUACCGGUCCACCUACACACGCUUUAAGCCCAGUGAUUCCGCCUAACGCUUGGCACCUCUGUCUUACCGCGGCGGCUGGCAC